UUCUUAUUAGUUUAAUGGUAGAACACAAUACUUCUAAUAUUGGUAUCCAGGUUCGAUUCCUGGAUGAGAUA
RNAcentral lists this transfer RNA (71 nucleotides) under Arthonia quintaria. RNAcentral's name for it is "tRNA-Arg". It matches the Rfam family "tRNA". Rfam says of the family: Transfer RNA (tRNA) molecules are approximately 80 nucleotides in length. Their secondary structure includes four short double-helical elements and three loops (D, anti-codon, and T loops). Further hydrogen bonds mediate the characteristic L-shaped molecular structure. tRNAs have two regions of fundamental functional importance: the anti-codon, which is responsible for specific mRNA codon recognition, and the 3' end, to which the tRNAs corresponding amino acid is attached (by aminoacyl-tRNA synthetases). tRNAs cope with the degeneracy of the genetic code in two manners: having more than one tRNA (with a specific anti-codon) for a particular amino acid; and 'wobble' base-pairing, i.e. permitting non-standard base-pairing at the 3rd anti-codon position. Lineage: Eukaryota; Fungi; Ascomycota; Arthoniomycetes; Arthoniales; Arthoniaceae. The record is from RNAcentral.